This 424-nucleotide ribosomal RNA is filed under the name uncultured bacterium. Its description in RNAcentral is "bacterial SSU rRNA". It matches the Rfam family "Bacterial small subunit ribosomal RNA", at positions 355 to 776 of the family's 1533-position model. The record is from RNAcentral.
UAAGGAAUAUUGGACAAUGGAGGGAACUCUGAUCCAGCCAUGCCGCGUGAAGGAUGACUGCGCUAUGCGUUGUAAACUUCUUUUGAAUGGGAAGAAAACGGGAGAUGCGUCUCUUGCUGACGGUACCAUUAGAAUAAGCACCGGCUAACUCCGUGCCAGCAGCCGCGGUAAUACGGAGGGUGCGAGCGUUAUCCGGAAUCACUGGGUUUAAAGGGUGCGUAGGCGGCUUAAUAAGUCAGCCGUGAAAUGUUUGGGCUUAACCGAGGCAUUGCGGAUGAUACUGUUGAGCUUGAAUCGAGAUGAGGUAGCCAGAAUGUGGCAUGUAGCGGUGAAAUGCUUAGAUAUGCCAUAGAACACCGAUUGCGAAGGCAGGUUACUGGACUUGAAUUGACGCUGAGGCACGAAAGCGUGGGGAUCAAACAGG